RNAcentral lists this long non-coding RNA (646 nucleotides) under Homo sapiens (human). RNAcentral's name for it is "HSALNT0352982". The record is from RNAcentral. Lineage: Eukaryota; Metazoa; Chordata; Mammalia; Primates; Hominidae.
CACUGAAGGGAAGCUUACCAGAGUGCCAUCGAGUUCCUUCCCCUAAGGAUCAGACUUCCAGACUCAAGUGUCAUUUGACCUGGUAUCCAGCUUAAUACAGCCUCUGCUUUUGAAUAGAUUUCCUUACAAGUGGCAAUCUCUAAUAGGGUCAUGUCGAGAGGCAACCCGACUGCAUACUACCUACUGCACGUUAACGUGAUGAAGGUCUCUCCUGAGCACACGGCUUCAUAAACCAGCUGCACAAGCAACUGCAUCUGGGGAUCUGCUUCAAGAGAAACUUAACUAAAGCAAGAAUGGGCUCUAACUUCAGGAUACCUAGGAUUCUAACCUCGUUCCAUUACUUACCAACGAUAUGACCUGGGAAAAAUUAUAUACCUGCUACACGAUGAGCAUACUUGGAAAGGAGUAGGUCAGGUGUCUCCAAAGUCUUCAGGCAGAGGCAACAACCACCAGGCAAACUUGAAGAGUUCUUGAACUACUUUUGAGGUUCCUCCUCAAUUUCACAGAUAUACCCUCCUCAGACUCCAGCCCCCAGUAUCUAAUGCCUGGAGCCUGAGUAGCAGGAUGGGAUUAAGUGACUUCUUGACUUGUGAACAAGAUAAAUGGAAGGUUCUGUUCAGAGGCUCUCAACUAUUUUGUACUUGCA